CAAACUAGGGCUCGUUGAGUAUUUUAUUUACACUAAAGUGGAAUUUGUUAAAUCAAUUUGGUUUGA
RNAcentral lists this transfer RNA (66 nucleotides) under Cassida viridis. Its description in RNAcentral is "tRNA-Val". Lineage: Eukaryota; Metazoa; Arthropoda; Insecta; Coleoptera; Chrysomelidae. The record is from RNAcentral.